Molecule: transfer RNA, 92 nt
Filed under: Bacillota bacterium
Lineage: Bacteria; Bacillati; Bacillota
Description: tRNA-Lys
Source: RNAcentral
GGGAUUUGCCGAACUCGACAGUACUAGGCAGAAUGACGCUUACCGGACUCUUAAUCCGGGUGUCCCGGGUUCGAGUCCCGGAUGGCUCACCA